Molecule: ribosomal RNA, 1372 nt
Filed under: uncultured bacterium
Lineage: Bacteria
Description: bacterial SSU rRNA
Rfam family: Bacterial small subunit ribosomal RNA
Source: RNAcentral
GAUGAACGCUGGCGGCGUGCCUAAUACAUGCAAGUCGAGCGAACGGACGAGAAGCUUGCUUCUCUGAUGUUAGCGGCGGACGGGUGAGUAACACGUGGAUAACCUACCUAUAAGACUGGGAUAACUUCGGGAAACCGUAGCUAAUACCGGAUAAUAUUUUGAACCGCAUGGUUCAAAAGUGAAAGACGGUCUUGCUGUCACUUAUAGAUGGAUCCGCGCUGCAUUAGCUAGUUGGUAAGGUAACGGCUUACCAAGGCAACGAUGCAUAGCCGACCUGAGAGGGUGAUCGGCCACACUGGAACUGAGACACGGUCCAGACUCCUACGGGAGGCAGCAGUAGGGAAUCUUCCGCAAUGGGCGAAAGCCUGACGGAGCAACGCCGCGUGAGUGAUGAAGGUCUUCGGAUCGUAAAACUCUGUUAUUAGGGAAGAACAUAUGUGUAAGUAACUGUGCACAUCUUGACGGUACCUAAUCAGAAAGCCACGGCUAACUACGUGCCAGCAGCCGCGGUAAUACGUAGGUGGCAAGCGUUAUCCGGAAUUAUUGGGCGUAAAGCGCGCGUAGGCGGUUUUUUAAGUCUGAUGUGAAAGCCCACGGCUCAACCGUGGAGGGUCAUUGGAAACUGGAAAACUUGAGUGCAGAAGAGGAAAGUGGAAUUCCAUGUGUAGCGGUGAAAUGCGCAGAGAUAUGGAGGAACACCAGUGGCGAAGGCGACUUUCUGGUCUGUAACUGACGCUGAUGUGCGAAAGCGUGGGGAUCAAACAGGAUUAGAUACCCUGGUAGUCCACGCCGUAAACGAUGAGUGCUAAGUGUUAGGGGGUUUCCGCCCCUUAGUGCUGCAGCUAACGCAUUAAGCACUCCGCCUGGGGAGUACGACCGCAAGGUUGAAACUCAAAGGAAUUGACGGGGACCCGCACAAGCGGUGGAGCAUGUGGUUUAAUUCGAAGCAACGCGAAGAACCUUACCAAAUCUUGACAUCCUUUGACAACUCUAGAGAUAGAGCCUUCCCCUUCGGGGGACAAAGUGACAGGUGGUGCAUGGUUGUCGUCAGCUCGUGUCGUGAGAUGUUGGGUUAAGUCCCGCAACGAGCGCAACCCUUAAGCUUAGUUGCCAUCAUUAAGUUGGGCACUCUAAGUUGACUGCCGGUGACAAACCGGAGGAAGGUGGGGAUGACGUCAAAUCAUCAUGCCCCUUAUGAUUUGGGCUACACACGUGCUACAAUGGACAAUACAAAGGGCAGCGAGACCGCGAGGUCAAGCAAAUCCCAUAAAGUUGUUCUCAGUUCGGAUUGUAGUCUGCAACUCGACUACAUGAAGCUGGAAUCGCUAGUAAUCGUAGAUCAGCAUGCUACGGUGAAUACGUUCCCGGGUCU